RNAcentral lists this transfer RNA (75 nucleotides) under Eggerthella lenta. RNAcentral describes it as "tRNA-Gly". It matches the Rfam family "tRNA". From Rfam's summary of the family: Transfer RNA (tRNA) molecules are approximately 80 nucleotides in length. Their secondary structure includes four short double-helical elements and three loops (D, anti-codon, and T loops). Further hydrogen bonds mediate the characteristic L-shaped molecular structure. tRNAs have two regions of fundamental functional importance: the anti-codon, which is responsible for specific mRNA codon recognition, and the 3' end, to which the tRNAs corresponding amino acid is attached (by aminoacyl-tRNA synthetases). tRNAs cope with the degeneracy of the genetic code in two manners: having more than one tRNA (with a specific anti-codon) for a particular amino acid; and 'wobble' base-pairing, i.e. permitting non-standard base-pairing at the 3rd anti-codon position. The record is from RNAcentral. RNAcentral also lists the same sequence under 2 other names. Lineage: Bacteria; Bacillati; Actinomycetota; Coriobacteriia; Eggerthellales; Eggerthellaceae.
GCGGGCGUCGUAUAAUGGUUAUUACGGCAGCUUCCCAAGCUGCUCACGCGAGUUCGAUUCUCGUCGCCCGCUCCA